Molecule: long non-coding RNA, 579 nt
Organism: Mustela lutreola (European mink)
Lineage: Eukaryota; Metazoa; Chordata; Mammalia; Carnivora; Mustelidae
Exons: 3
Source: RefSeq, a predicted model, not a curated record
UGGGGGGAGCAGCCCACAGAGGGAAAGGAAGAAGCAGGCUCUCUGCUGCGCCACCGGCCCAAUGCGGCUCCACGCAGAGCUGGGGCUGGAUCCCAGGACCCUGGCAGAUGCUCAACCCACGGAGCCACCCAGGCGCCCCUUUCUCUCCUUCUCUUAAAGAGAUCAUGUGAAUGUCAGAACAGUAACUGCAGACAGACAGUGUCUACCACAUUUAAAACACUGCCUAUGAUGCAGACAUCAGGAGCUGUCCGCUGAGGGGAGCGCACGAGGAGUUAAUGAAAGAUGGGAAACGGAAUGAACGGGAUCCGAGGAGAAUGUUCAAGUGACUAGUUUCAAGCUAUCGACGUGAAGGCAUUGAAGGCACAGCCAGGAAGAGGUGUGCACGGCCGGGCCCUGCAAGGUGGAAGGAGAACGAGUUUCCAAAGCCAGAGGCUCCCGGCUCCGGGUGAUCCCCAGCAGUGGGAACGCAGGUGGACUUGCCCAGAGUGCAAAAUACGGGACCUGUGGCUGCAGGUGCCACAAUGGCCAGAAAGAACCGGUUCUGCCUAUGGUGCGUGCAUGCUUAAGGUAAGCGCUUCU